RNAcentral lists this ribosomal RNA (856 nucleotides) under uncultured bacterium. RNAcentral's name for it is "bacterial SSU rRNA". It matches the Rfam family "Bacterial small subunit ribosomal RNA", at positions 72 to 966 of the family's 1533-position model. The record is from RNAcentral.
GGGAAUUUUCGGAUUCUAGUGGCGGACGGGUGAGUAACGCGUAAGAAUCUAACUUCAGGACGGGGACAACAGUUGGAAACGACUGCUAAUACCCGAUGUGCCGCAAGGUGAAACCUAAUUGGCCUGAAGAAGAGCUUGCGUCUGAUUAGCUAGUUGGUGGGGUAAAGGCCUACCAAGGCAACGAUCAGUAGCUGGUCUGAGAGGAUGAGCAGCCACACUGGGACUGAGACACGGCCCAGACUCCUACGGGAGGCAGCAGUGGGGAAUUUUCCGCAAUGGGCGAAAGCCUGACGGAGCAACGCCGCGUGAGGGAGGAAGGUCUUUGGAUUGUAAACCUCUUUUCUCAAGGAAGAAGUUCUGACGGUACUUGAGGAAUCAGCCUCGGCUAACUCCGUGCCAGCAGCCGCGGUAAUACGGGGGAGGCAAGCGUUAUCCGGAAUUAUUGGGCGUAAAGCGUCCGCAGGUGGUCAGCCAAGUCUGCCGUCAAAUCAGGUUGCUUAACGACCUAAAGGCGGUGGAAACUGGCAGACUAGAGAGCAGUAGGGGUAGCAGGAAUUCCCAGUGUAGCGGUGAAAUGCGUAGAGAUUGGGAAGAACAUCGGUGGCGAAAGCGUGCUACUGGGCUGUAUCUGACACUCAGGGACGAAAGCUAGGGGAGCGAAAGGGAUUAGAUACCCCUGUAGUCCUAGCCGUAAACGAUGGAUACUAGGCGUGGCUUGUAUCGACCCGAGCCGUGCCGAAGCUAACGCGUUAAGUAUCCCGCCUGGGGAGUACGCACGCAAGUGUGAAACUCAAAGGAAUUGACGGGGGCCCGCACAAGCGNNGGAGUAUGUGGUUUAAUUCGAUGCAACGCGAAG